UACGUAGGGAGCAAGCGUUGUCCGGAAUCAUUGGGCGUAAAGAGCGUGUAGGCGGCCCGGUAAGUCUGUUGUGAAAGUCCAGGGCUCAACCCUGGAAUGCCGAUGGAUACUGCCGGGCUAGAGUUCGGAAGAGGCGAGUGGAAUUCCUGGUGUAGCGGUGGAAUGCGCAGAUAUCAGGAGGAACACCGGUGGCGAAGGCGGUUCUCUGGGCCUUACCUGACGCUGAGGAGCGAAAGCGUGGGGAGCGAACAGG
This 253-nucleotide ribosomal RNA is filed under the name uncultured bacterium. RNAcentral describes it as "partial 16S ribosomal RNA". It matches the Rfam family "Bacterial small subunit ribosomal RNA", at positions 524 to 776 of the family's 1533-position model. The record is from RNAcentral.